AUAGCGUAUAUUAAAGUUGUUGCAGUUAAAAAGCUCGUAGUUGAACUUCAGACCUGGCCGGACGGUCUGCCUAACGGUAUGUACUGUCUGGCUGGGCCUUACCUCUUGGUGAGCCGGCAUGCCCUUCACUGGGUGUGUCGGGGAACCAGGACUUUUACCUUGAGAAAAUUAGAGUGUUCAAAGCAGGCUUAUGCUCGAAUACAUUAGCAUGGAAUAAUAAAAUAGGACGUGCGGUUCUAUUUUGUUGGUUUCUAGGACCGAAGUAAUGAUUAAUAGGGAUAGUUGGGGGCAUUAGUAUUUAAUUGUCAGAGGUGAAAUUCUUGGAUUUAUGAAAGACUAACUUCUG
This 346-nucleotide ribosomal RNA is filed under the name uncultured eukaryote. RNAcentral's name for it is "SSU rRNA". It matches the Rfam family "Eukaryotic small subunit ribosomal RNA", at positions 594 to 945 of the family's 1831-position model. The record is from RNAcentral.